Molecule: transfer RNA, 72 nt
Filed under: Bos taurus (domestic cattle)
Lineage: Eukaryota; Metazoa; Chordata; Mammalia; Artiodactyla; Bovidae
Also listed under: 2 other names
Rfam family: tRNA
About the family: Transfer RNA (tRNA) molecules are approximately 80 nucleotides in length.
Source: Rfam by way of RNAcentral
UCCCUGAUGGUUCAGUGGUUAAGAAUCUGCCUGCGAAUGCAGAGGACACAGGUUCAAUCCCUGGUCUGGGAA